AACGAACGUUGGCGGCGUGGAUUAGGCAUGCAAGUCGCACGAGAAAGGUUUCGCAAGAGACCAAGUAAAGUGGCGGACGGGUGAGUAAUGCAUAGAUAACUUGCCCUCAAGACGGGGAUAACUCUUCGAAAGAGGUGCUAAUACCCGAUACUGUCCUGACCUGUCGGGGUCUGGAUGAAAGGAGGCCUCUGAUACAAGCUUCCGCUCGAGGAGAGGUUUAUGUCCUAUUAGCAGUUGGUGAGGUAACGGCUCACCAAGGCUUCGAUGGGUAGCCGACCUGAGAGGGUGACCGGCCACACUGGGACUGAGACACUGCCCAGACUCCUACGGGAGGCUGCAGUCGAGAAUCUUCCGCAAUGCGCGCAAGCGUGACGGAGCGACGCCGCGU
This 388-nucleotide ribosomal RNA is filed under the name uncultured bacterium. Its description in RNAcentral is "bacterial SSU rRNA". It matches the Rfam family "Bacterial small subunit ribosomal RNA", at positions 29 to 402 of the family's 1533-position model. The record is from RNAcentral.